Molecule: ribosomal RNA, 479 nt
Filed under: uncultured bacterium
Lineage: Bacteria
Description: partial 16S ribosomal RNA
Rfam family: Bacterial small subunit ribosomal RNA
Source: RNAcentral
GACGAACGCUGGCGGCGUGCUUAACACAUGCAAGUCGAACGGUAAGGCCCUUCGGGGUACACGAGUGGCGAACGGGUGAGUAACACGUGGGUGAUCUGCCCUGCACUUCGGGAUAAGCCUGGGAAACUGGGUCUAAUACCGGAUAGGACCACUGCCUGCAUGGGUGGUGGUGGAAAGCUUUUGCGGUGUGGGAUGGGCCCGCGGCCUAUCAGCUUGUUGGUGGGGUGAUGGCCUACCAAGGCGACGACGGGUAGCCGGCCUGAGAGGGUGACCGGCCACACUGGGACUGAGAUACGGGCCAGACUCCUACGGGAGGCAGCAGUGGGGAAUAUUGCACAAUGGGCGCAAGCCUGAUGCAGCGACGCCGCGUGAGGGAUGACGGCCUUCGGGUUGUAAACCUCUUUCAGCACCGACGAAGCGCAAGUGACGGUAGGUGCAGAAGAAGGACCGGCCAACUACGUGCCAGCCGCCGCCUGUAA